This 603-nucleotide non-coding RNA is filed under the name Danais xanthorrhoea. RNAcentral describes it as "transfer RNA-Leu". The stretch from base 26 to 526 matches the Rfam family "Group I catalytic intron". From Rfam's summary of the family: Group I catalytic introns are large self-splicing ribozymes. They catalyse their own excision from mRNA, tRNA and rRNA precursors in a wide range of organisms. The core secondary structure consists of 9 paired regions (P1-P9). Lineage: Eukaryota; Viridiplantae; Streptophyta; Magnoliopsida; Gentianales; Rubiaceae. The record is from RNAcentral.
GGGGAUAUGGCGAAAUUGGUAGACGCUACGGACUUAAUUGGAUUGGGCCUUGGUAUGGAAACCCGCUGAGUGAGAACUUUCAAAUUCAGAGAAACCCUGGAAUUAAUAAAAAGGGGCAAUCCUGAGCCAAAUCCUAUUUUCCGAAAACAAAGGUUCAGAAAGUGAAAAAGGGGAUAGGUGCAGAGACUCAAUGGAAGCUGUUCUAACAAAUGGAGUUGGCUGCGGUAGUCGAGAAGUCUUUCUAUCAAAAAUUCAUAAAGUAAAAGUAUAAGUAUUAAGGAUGAAGUGAAGGAUAAACGCAUAUACAUACGUAGUGAAUAGUAUAUUAAAUGAGUAAUGACAGCCCGAAUGAAUCUAUAUUUUUUCUAUGAAAAAAUAAAGAAUUGUUGUUAAUAGAUUCCACGUUUAAGAAAGAAUCGAAUAUUCAUUGAUCAAAUGAUUCACUCCAUAGUCUGAUAGAUCUUUUCACGAACUGAUUAAUCGGACGAGAAUAAAGAUAGAGUCCCAUUCUACAUGUCACUGCCGGCAACAAUGAAAUUUAUAGUUAAGAGGAAAAUCCGUCGACUUUUAAAAUCGUGAGGGUUCAAGUCCCUCUAUCCCCAA